Molecule: RNA transcript, 1305 nt
Organism: Prinia subflava (tawny-flanked prinia)
Lineage: Eukaryota; Metazoa; Chordata; Aves; Passeriformes; Cisticolidae
Gene: FGF1
Gene name: fibroblast growth factor 1
Exons: 5
Source: RefSeq, a predicted model, not a curated record
CUCCGCCGCUCCCCCGCCCCGAGGCAGCUCCUCCUCAUCCUCCUCAUCCCCGCUGGCCCUGCUCCAUCCCGGUUCUCCCCGCGCACUCGGGAGCCGCAGCCGGGAGCGCCGCGCAGCCGCCGCCCGGCCCUGCGCCAUGGCCGAGGGGGAGAUCAGCACCUUCAGCGCCCUCACCGAGAGGUUCGACCUGCCCGGAGGCAGCUACAGGAGCCCCAAACUGCUCUACUGCAGCAACGGGGGGCACUUCCUGCGCAUCCUGCCCGACGGCACCGUGGACGGCACCAGGGACCGCAGCGACCUGCACAUUCAGCUGCAGCUGAGUGCAGAGAGCGUGGGGGUGGUGCACAUCAGGAGCACGCAGUCGGGGCAGUACCUGGCCAUGGACACCAACGGGCUGCUCUACGGCUCGCAGUUACUGGGUGAGGAGUGUCUGUUCCUGGAAAGGCUCGAAGAAAACCACUACAACACCUACGUGUCCAAAAUGCACGCGGACAAGAACUGGUUUGUGGGGCUGAAGAAGAACGGGAACAGCAAGCUGGGCCCGCGGACUCACUAUGGCCAGAAGGCGAUCCUCUUCCUGCCCCUGCCCGUCUCAGCCGACUGAGGCCUGCCCCGAAGCUCAGAGAGGACCCCAAAUCCCAAACCCACCUGCUGCUGCCUCCCUAGAGCUCAGCAGAGCUCCGAGCUUUAGGUCAAGGUUUUGCCAAACCCAGCCAACGCAGAGCCCCUUUGCUCUGCAGGAAGCUUUGCAGAGAUGAGGGGACGAGCCCUGACACCCUCCCCGAGGUCCACGGGGCCCCAUCUCCUCCUGCCCUCAGCUCUGUGUCUGUGUGUGCCAUGGCCCUCAGCUGUGUGUCUGUGUGUGCCAUGACCCUCAGCUGUGUGUCUGUGUGUCCCAUGACCCUCAGCUGUGUGUCUGUGUGUCCCAUGACCCUCAGCUGUGUGUCUGUGUGUGCCAUGACUACGUUGCAGAAAUGUGCCCGAGGGUCACUCCGGUUCCCAGAGAAGCGCACACUUUGUGUCCCCAGGCACUGCAAGGCAAAGCCUCCCUGGAAACUGUGUGUUAGUACAUUCAUCCAUGCAGGUGUGCAGCUUCUGACACGCCCCCGAGCAAUUCCAGGUUGCCCCAUCAGUCCUGUUAGCCAGGGCCAGCCUGGCAAGUGCCAGCUGGGCAUGUUCAGCUGAACUAGGCAAAGCUCCAGCCUCAGCCCUUGGCCUCCCUCACAACAUCAAUAGUGUGUAUUCCAUGCUAGUACCUGCCAUAUGUUAUUUGUAUUUAUUUAUUAAGUAAAUAUGUCUCUUCCA